UUUUUUUUUUUUUUUUUUUUUUUUUUUCUCGCA
This 33-nucleotide non-coding RNA is filed under the name Prorocentrum micans. The record is from RNAcentral. Lineage: Eukaryota; Dinophyceae; Prorocentrales; Prorocentraceae.